This 1224-nucleotide long non-coding RNA is filed under the name Felis catus (domestic cat). RNAcentral describes it as "lncRNA (ENSFCAG00000047572.1)". The record is from RNAcentral. Lineage: Eukaryota; Metazoa; Chordata; Mammalia; Carnivora; Felidae.
CUCAUUAUUAAGCUCCUCGCUCUUUGCAGACGCUCCCUGCGCCUCCCCCGCUCCGGGCUGCAGCGGCGCAGGCGCCGGGCCGAGCCGAGCGCCGAGCGGGGAGCGGGCGGCCGCGCUCCGGGCCGGGGUCCCGGGGGAGCAGGUGAGCGACCCGCGCCGCGCGGCCCCCAGGCCCUUGCGGAGACGCCGCCCGGCCGCGCUGCGCCGGCGCCCCCGCCUUCCCUGCCUGGCAUCCUCCUCCCCCCUGCCUGGCAUCCUCCUCCCCCCUGCCUGGCAUCCCUCCUCCCCCCUGCCUGGUAUCUCCUCUGCUCCCGCCUGCCUGGCAUCCCUCCUCCUCCCUGCCUGGCAUCCUCCUCCCCCCUGUCUGGCGUCUCCCCCUGUCUGACAGCCCCCUCCACCCCCCCCCCCCGGCCUCUCCCCAUUCUCCUCCCUGCCUGGCAUCUCUCUGGUCUCCCCCCCUGCCUGGCAUCUUCCUUCUUAUCCCUGCCUGGCACCUUCCCCUUACCUGGCGCCUUCCCCUUACCUGGCACUCCCCCUCCCUGCCUGGCAUCGUCAUCCCCUCCUCCUUUCCUGAUCUCUCCCCCCACUCCUGACUCUCUUCCUCCCCCUGCCUGGCACCUCCCCCACCCCGAGCCGGGUAUCUGUCUCUUCCUCCUCCCCCCUUCCUUGCACCUCUCCCAUGGCUCCCAUCUUACCUCCUCUCUAAUACUCCCCCCCCCCCCCCGCCUGGCAUCUUUCCCUCCUUCUGUACCUGGUUCCUUCCCCUCUUCCCUCCACCUGCAUGCCCCCUCCUUCUCUUUGCCUGGCACUCUCCUGCCUGGUACCUUCCCUCCUUCCCCUCUGCCUGGCACCUCCCCUCCUUCCCCUGCCUGGCAUCCCUCCUCCUCCCUGCCGAGCAUGUUGCCAUCCUGCUCCUGCCUGGCACCCUCUCCCUCCUACCCACUCCCCUGCCUGGCACCUUCCCUCCUUCCCCUCUGCCUGGCACCUCCCCACCUUCCCCUCUGCCUGGCACCUCCCCACCUCUCCCCUGCCUGGCACCUCCCCUCCUUCCCCUGCCUGGCACCUUCCCUCCUUCCCCUCUGCCUGGCACCUCCCCUCCUUCCCCUGCCUGGCACCUCCCCUGUCUCCACUUGGCAUCCCGCCCGGACACCCCUCUCCCACCCAGCCUGUCCCUCUGUCUUCGGCCUUCCUGUAAGGCACCUCCCCCCAGCCCUGAGCCGGUAA